UUGAAAUAUUUGCUGAAGAGUUUUAAUCUUUGUUUCUUUCCAUCUAAGUCUCUCAGGUGAGCGACCCUGGGCCCUUGAGGGCCUCUUGUUUUAAGUACCUUUACAGUCAAAAGGCAGAUGCAAACAGAAGAUAUAAGAUGUUAUUAGAUACAAGUUUGUAAGUCUGUGGAAAUCGUAUUCAAAUGGAUACAUAACUUUGGUGAAAUAUCUGUACUUCCAGUAGCAAAUGAUAACUACAUGUCAUCUGUUAGUAGUAGUAAAUAGUCUGUCAUUAACAAAACAGGGGUGUGGAAUUCUGUUUAACUUGCAUAGGUUUUAGUACUGUCUUACAAGUAAACUUUAUCAGUCUCUUUGUUCAUAGACAAUUAUUAUGAUGAUGACAUUUCAUGGCAUGAAAAUGAUGUAUUAUGUACCAUGACUUUAUCCAUAGACAGUUAAACAAUUGUGGUUUCUCCACACCGGUGUUAGAAAAUAAUUGCAAAUCUUCAUAAAGCCAUGUUGGCAUAAUCUAUAUGUAAUGGGUUAUUAUAAUAAAGAAAAUAAGAUAACAAUUCUCAAUAAACAACUUGUUUUAACUCCACUAAUAAUCUUAAUUAUUUGUUAAUGUAAACAUGUAUAAUCAAUGUAACUUUAUGUAAUGUCAUUUUUUAUGUACCUUUGAAAAAGAAAUUACAUGGUGUACUUUUGAAGCAUGCAUUUCUUUGACGUUUAUUAACUGUGCUUUUUUGUUUCUUUCUUGGUUUGUUUUUAACCAGGUUUUCCGAAGGAAAAAACUGGUUAUUAGAUUGGCGAAUGCGGGCGGGCUGGCUGGCGGGCUGGCUGGCUGGCGGGCUGGCGGAAUAAGCUUGUCCGGGCCAUAACUAUGUCGUUCAUUGUCAGAUUUUAAAAUCAUUUGGCACAUUUGUUCACCAUCAUUGGACGGUGUGUCGCGCGAAAUAAUUACGUCGAUAUCUCCAAGGUCAAGGUCACACUUUGAGUUCAAAGGUCAAAAAUGGCCAUAAAUGAGCUUGUCCUGGCCAUAACUAUGUCAUUCAUUGUGAGAUUUUAAAAUCAUUUGGCACAUUUGUUCACCAUCAUGGGACGGUGUGUCCCACGAAAGAAUCACGUCAAUAUCUCCAAUGUCAAGGUCGCCACGACUAAAAAUAGAUUUAAAAAAAAAAAAAAACUUACAAAGGGGGUUAAUUUUUUUUGGUCAUUUCAAAA
This is a long non-coding RNA of Dreissena polymorpha, 1203 nucleotides long. RefSeq lists it as uncharacterized. NCBI's taxonomy places the organism in Eukaryota, Metazoa, Mollusca, Bivalvia, Myida, Dreissenidae. The record is from RefSeq and is a predicted model, not a curated record. The transcript has 2 exons.